Molecule: non-coding RNA, 2812 nt
Organism: Myodes glareolus (Bank vole)
Lineage: Eukaryota; Metazoa; Chordata; Mammalia; Rodentia; Cricetidae
Source: RefSeq, a predicted model, not a curated record
ACAACCGAGCAGAAUGGUGCUCCUUGGAAGAACUGACCGUGAAGCAGAGAGGAGGGGGUAAGCUCCUCUGUCAGCUAAGCUCCCCACGUCUGCUGACUGAGCCCGAAAGAGCAGGAAAAGCCUCCAGGCUUCACCAGUGAUUCCUGCUGCUUGAAACCUGCUUUUCAAGAAUGGACUUGAGCAGAAGAAGCCAGGCCAGCGGCAUCAUAAACUCAACCCCCCUCACGCAGAACCUGUCUCCCCUACCAAAGAAAUAUGCAACCUGCAAAGAGGCAAGCCCCGAAACCAACCAUCAGCUUCCUCCCUCUUCAGCACCCACUAAUCAGAAACCCAGGGUUGCAGUGCAGACUUCUGUUGAAGAUGGGUAGUAGGCCCCUGCUCAGCCAUGAACCUCAGACCAACCUGCUUGCGUUGAUCUUCAAUUUUUAAAUACUCCAAAUCCACUCUCAGCAUUCCCCAGCCCAACAGAAUAUAAGGUUUGGAGUGCAGCUGACAAGCCAAUAGCCCUCCUGCCAAGGAGGGGGUUAGGAGGGGGCCACACCAAGGAUAGGUGGGCACUCCGGAGGUAGCUUAGAACUUGGAACUCGGAGCCCGACUCUAGGAACCAGGAAGCUGACGCUUCUGAUCGCUAGUUCCAGGGCACUGACAACAAGGAAGCCCACCGACAGGCGAGGAAGCGAGGGCCCCUUGCACAGCCCUGGAGUGCGACCUCCGUGGAAGACAACCCUUCGCGGGAAAGCCUCCUCUUCAAAACCUUUCGUGAACAAACUCUUCCACAAACCUGUAACCAACCAUAUGCCCCCCUCGCAGCCCCGAAGUUCCUUCUUUAGAUUUCUGUGAUCGCUAGGAGUCAAAGUUUUUAAAAGCCCGUCCUCCAUCCUCAGCACCUCCACAUCCCGAAAGGUGCCCAGCAAAGUACAGGCACCAGCAGUCCCAAUAACUUUACUUAAUGAAUUAACAAAUCAAUGGCCAGCCACAGGAGCUCACAACUGGGAAAAGAUGGGAAAUUGUCUGGGACUCUCAGGGCAAGAGGGAUGGAAGACCAACCCCCGUUACUGUUUUCUUUCUCCAUUCUUCUAUCUGGCCACUGGGAAAGGUGUUCGCCCCAACUAAGCCAGGGAAAGGAACUUGGGCUAGCCGGGGAUGCACCCUGAAAUCAAACCUCUAGGCUCUCCGUAAAAAGCCCCUUUGUCCUGCCCCCCCAGCCCCUCCCCCACCGCGCCCUCCCCUUCCAGGCCGGCCUGGAACUUGGGCUCCUUUUGUUUGCCUGCCUUCUGGCUUGCCGGAACCUGGCCAGGAGAUCCACCGGGCUGGGGAGAGGGUCGAAGGAGAAAGGUUGAGCCGUUGGAAACGGCUUUGGGGUGGGAAUUCUCGACCUCUUGGUAAAAUUACCCCCGUUCCCUGCAAGACCCCCUCUGCUGAGCAUGAAGAUCGGGGUUCAGGGACUCGAUCUCCCCCAGUUCUCCCGCGUCAGGUUCACUAAGUUUCCGUCUUACCUGUCCCACCGAGUUCUGGCUCCCCGCGCCUGCCCCCGCGCCCCCCGCGCCCUCCGCACAGCUUCAGGACCUGUUGGUCCCGCCCAUCUUCCCUCUCCCCAAGGCUCCCCCGGGCCUCCCCUCCCCGGAGGUAUUUCAUUUAACUUCGGCAUUUGCAGCAUCCCAAAUGUUAAAGAUCCCAAGACAUCUGUCCCCUGGGGCAUACCAAAGGCCCAGCGGAGAGAGGGGAAGAUGCUAGAAGGGAUUUGAGAUUCUGAUCCAAGAGACGGGGCGGGGCGUCACGUUGAGAUGGUACAGUGCCAGCCCGGGUUUGCAUCCUGCGGGAGCAACAGCGCAAGGGGUGACGCUGCCCCCUACCUCCUGCAUUCGGGCGGCCACAUGACCGGACACCCCCCGGCUAGGCCGGUUUCCGAAAUCCGGGCGGGACGAGGCUCGACUAGAGGUCUUAGGGCCGCCUUUCAUCCCCUCGCUCUGGCCCGGCUGGGGGCAGUUUUCAUUCCGGAGACCCCAGCGUGGAAGAAUGAAAGGAGACAGCAGCCCCUCCCCCUCCUUGCCGAUUCCUUCUCGCGGCCCGGACUGCGGCGCGAUCGAACUGGGGUCGCCUCCCCUCUUGCGGCCCCAGCCGAGUCCCUUUAGGGGUGGCGGGCAGAACGCGCGGGCUGCGGAGAGGCAAGGCACACACUCCUGGGCAGCGCCUCCUGCUGCUUGCUACGAUCCCGCGAAACCAUCCAUUCAUUCACUUAGACUUGCUCUUUCCCUCUUUUCGUUGAUUCUGUUUACACUUGUGAAACCCUUUGCCAGGGCCAAGCUAAGUUCAGACUUCAUCACUAGAGGGUUGUUGAGUCUACAGCAUAAAUUUGAAGAAUUUAGGAUAGCGGAUGGGGAAGAGGGAUGAGGCUGCGACAGGCAGGGACCCGUCCUGGGGCAGAGCAGUUCUGUGUGGUUGUCUAAAAAAACUCACCCAAGCUCCAGUCGAUAUUAUCUGUAAUCAGAUCUAUGUUCAUUUGGAACUUGCGCUUUUUCUUAACGCGUAGAUGCCUUUUUUCUAAUGAGUAUAUGAGCUAAGCUGACUGAAGGAAUUGAAGAGUAACUACGAGUCAGGAUAGCCCAGAAGGGGUGGGGAGUGGGGAAGCCAUACGAAUAUGAACUCUGACAAGUGCAGAAUCCACAGGGCAUGACACAAACCCAUUGAGUGAGCCCCACCUACCCAUGGGGGAAAUCUGCUCUAUUCACAGUCCACUGAUUUAAAUGGACUCAUCAAAGAAAAUAUUAAUCUCAUCAAAGGAAAAAAAAAAACAAAAAAAAAACCCUUUCAA